GCGUGCCUAAUACAUGCAAGUCGAGCGGAGUUACUUUGAAAGCUUGCUUUCAAAGUAACUUAGCGGCGGACGGGUGAGUAACACGUAGGCAACCUGCCCCUUAGACUGGGAUAACUACCGGAAACGGUAGCUAAUACCGGAUAAUUUCUUUUUUCUCCUGAAGAAAGAAUGAAAGACGGAGCAAUCUGUCACUGAGGGAUGGGCCUGCGGCGCAUUAGCUAGUUGGUGGGGUAACGGCCCACCAAGGCGACGAUGCGUAGCCGACCUGAGAGGGUGAACGGCCACACUGGGACUGAGACACGGCCCAGACUCCUACGGGAGGCAGCAGUAGGGAAUCUUCCGCAAUGGACGAAAGUCUGACGGAGCAACGCCGCGUGAGUGAUGAAGGUUUUCGGAUCGUAAAGCUCUGUUGCCAGGGAAGAACGUCCGGUAGAGUA
This 437-nucleotide ribosomal RNA is filed under the name Paenibacillus sp. MH44. Its description in RNAcentral is "bacterial SSU rRNA". It matches the Rfam family "Bacterial small subunit ribosomal RNA", at positions 42 to 463 of the family's 1533-position model. Lineage: Bacteria; Bacillati; Bacillota; Bacilli; Caryophanales; Paenibacillaceae. The record is from RNAcentral.